RNAcentral lists this ribosomal RNA (465 nucleotides) under uncultured bacterium. RNAcentral's name for it is "partial 16S ribosomal RNA". It matches the Rfam family "Bacterial small subunit ribosomal RNA", at positions 28 to 507 of the family's 1533-position model. The record is from RNAcentral.
GACGAACGCUGGCGGCGUGCUUAACACAUGCAAGUCGAACGGAAAGGCCCUGCUUGCAGGGUACUCGAGUGGCGAACGGGUGAGUAACACGUGGGUGAUCUGCCCUGCACUUCGGGAUAAGCCUGGGAAACUGGGUCUAAUACCGGAUAGGAGCCAUUUUUAGUGUGAUGGUUGGAAAGUUUUUUCGGUGUAGGAUGAGCUCGCGGCCUAUCAGCUUGUUGGUGGGGUAAUGGCCUACCAAGGCGGCGACGGGUAGCCGGCCUGAGAGGGUGGACGGCCACAUUGGGACUGAGAGACGGCCCAGACUCCUACGGGAGGAAGAAGUGGGGAAUAUUGCACAAUGGGCGCAAGCCUGAUGCAGCGACGCCGCGUGGGGGAUGACGGCCUUCGGGUUGUAAAAUCCUUUCGCUAGGGACGAAGCUUUUUGUGACGGUACCUAGAGAAGAAGCACCGGCUAACUACGUG